Molecule: ribosomal RNA, 399 nt
Filed under: uncultured bacterium
Lineage: Bacteria
Description: bacterial SSU rRNA
Rfam family: Bacterial small subunit ribosomal RNA
Source: RNAcentral
GACGAACGCUGGCGGCGCGCUUAACACAUGCAAGUCGAGCGAGAACCAGGACUUCGGUCCUGGGGACAGCGGCGAACGGGUGAGUAACACGUGGAUAACCUGCCCUCGGCACCCGGGAUAGCCCGAGGAAACUCGGAUUAAUACCGGAUAGCCCUUCCGACUCUCGAGUCGGUCCGAAAAGGUAGCUUCGGCCUCUGGCCGAGGAUGGGUCCGCGGCGGAUUAGCUUGUUGGUGGGGUAACGGCCUACCAAGGCANCGAUCCGUAGCUGGUCUGAGAGGACGAUCAGCCACACUGGGACUGAGACACGGCCCAGACUCCUACGGGAGGCAGCAGUGGGGAAUCUUGCGCAAUGGGCGAAAGCCUGACGCAGCGACGCCGCGUGAGGGAAGAAGGCCUGG